CAGCAGCCACGGUAAUACGUAGGGUGCAAGCGUUAAUCGGAAUUACUGGGCGUAAAGCGUGCGCAGGCGGUUCUAUAAGACAGAUGUGAAAUCCCCGGGCUCAACCUGGGAACUGCACUUGUGACUGUAGAGCUGGAGUGCGGCAGUGGGGGAUGGAAUUCCGCGUGUAGCAGUGAAAUGCGUAGAUAUGCGGAGGAACACCGAUGGCGAAGGCAAUCCCCUGGGCCUGCACUGACGCUCAUGCACGAAAGCGUGGGGAGCAAACAGGAUUAGAUACCCCGGUAGUCCCUGUCUCUUAUAC
This 301-nucleotide ribosomal RNA is filed under the name uncultured bacterium. RNAcentral describes it as "partial 16S ribosomal RNA". It matches the Rfam family "Bacterial small subunit ribosomal RNA", at positions 509 to 807 of the family's 1533-position model. The record is from RNAcentral.